UUUCCGUAGGUGAACCUGCGGAAGGAUCAUUAUUGUAUAACCGAGGUGCGAGGGCUGUCGCUGACCCGAAAGGUCGUGCACGCCCGAGUGCCCUCACACACAUCCAUCUCACCCCUAUGUGCACCACCGCGUGGGUCCCCCUUUGGCUUGUUCGGAGGGGGGCUUACGUUUUCACACAAACUUUGUAUGCAGUGUAGAAUGUAUUUUUUGUUUUUGCGAUCACGCAAUCAAUACAACUUUCAACAACGGAUCUCUUGGCUCUCGCAUCGAUAAAGAACGCAGC
Molecule: unclassified non-coding RNA, 283 nt
Filed under: plant metagenome
Description: partial contains small subunit ribosomal RNA, internal transcribed spacer 1, and 5.8S ribosomal RNA
Rfam family: 5.8S ribosomal RNA (bases 235-283)
Source: RNAcentral